UACGGGGGGUACGAGCGUUGUCCGGAAUCACUGGGCGUAAAGGGCGCGUAGGUGGUUUGAUAAGGGUGUGGUGAAAGCCCGGGGCUCAACCCCGGGUCUGCCGUGCCGACUGUCAAACUCGAGGGCUGUAGAGGCAGACGGAAUUCCGGGUGUAGCGGUGGAAUGCGUAGAGAUCCGGAGGAAGACCGGUGGCGAAGGCGGUCUGCUGGGCAGUUUCUGACACUGAUGCGCGACAGCGUGGGGAGCAAACAGG
RNAcentral lists this ribosomal RNA (253 nucleotides) under uncultured bacterium. RNAcentral's name for it is "partial 16S ribosomal RNA". It matches the Rfam family "Bacterial small subunit ribosomal RNA", at positions 524 to 776 of the family's 1533-position model. The record is from RNAcentral.